GUGAAAUGACAUCCUACUACCAUUUAGCAUUCUCUGCAUGCCGCUUAGCAACAAGUGGUAGUGUGCAUAUGAGCUUCAUUUCCUUCUGUUAAUCUGAUUUACAGUAACAGAUAACGCAGACGGCAGGGUGGCAGAAGUUUCACCUCUAGAUGGCAGCACACACAAGAUAAGUUCCAGCAUUCCAAUGGCAACUGGAUUCGUUGACUCUUCACCCUUCUCAAGUUCCGUUAAACAACCCAGUCACAACAUAGAUUUUUUAUUCUAAUAGCGAUGUGCUGACAUGGUGACACAGCGCUAGGGGAGCAGUAAACAAAGAUCCCCACUGCCGGCGAGAGUCUAAUGUUACAGCACGUUCCGUAGGGACACGCACGGAGAACAGGAUGUCCAAAUAUAACCCAUAUAAACAGAUCUUUAAAAAACAUUAAGUGAUGGAAAAUUCAAAUUUUUCGCCAGGAAAGAUACAUACCAAAAGUCAACACUUCCGCCAAGUAUGGACAAGGCAAGGGAACAAUGGAUAUAUAUCUCAGUGACAAGUUAAACACAUCACGAUCAAGGAUGUGGACCCAACUCAACCAUCCGAAAUGAGUAUCAACACAGACACUGAACUGAUCAUAUUUGACACAAGAACAAGAAUCACCACGCUGAGGCGUGACACCGACCUUGAUAUAUUUGUGUGCGCACUUUUUUUUCACUGUGUUACUGUUUCUUUUUCUUUUUCAAUGGAGAAGGGGGAUAAGGGGGGCACGUAGUUCAUUAUGUCGGCGACUUUAAAAUGACGUCAAGACAUUAUUGUUCUUGAAUUAGAAUAGAUUGCAUUAGCUUUGGACCACCGUUCCACAUAAAACUCGUGGGUGGCAAGCCUAUAUGGCACGUAAUCAUACACCCUAUAGACCCUGUACACAUGACGUCAUAA
Lingula anatina is the source of this 913-nucleotide long non-coding RNA. RefSeq lists it as uncharacterized. The record is from RefSeq and is a predicted model, not a curated record. Lineage: Eukaryota; Metazoa; Brachiopoda; Lingulata; Lingulida; Lingulidae.